This 482-nucleotide ribosomal RNA is filed under the name uncultured Gram-positive bacterium. RNAcentral's name for it is "bacterial SSU rRNA". It matches the Rfam family "Bacterial small subunit ribosomal RNA", at positions 379 to 852 of the family's 1533-position model. The record is from RNAcentral.
AAGCGUGAUGCAGCAACGCCGCGUGCGGGAAGAAGGCCUUAGGGUUGUAAACCGCUUUCAGUUGGGACGAAGCUUCGCUGGUUAAGAGCUGGUUGGAGUGACGGUACCUUCAGAAGAAGCGCCGGCUAACUACGUGCCAGCAGCCGCGGUAGUACGUAGGGCGCGAGCGUUGUCCGGAAUCAUUGGGCGUAAAGCGCGUGUAGGCGGCUGAGUAAGUCUGCUGUGAAAGUCCAGGGCUCAACCCUGGGAUGUCGGCGGAUACUGCUCAGCUGGAGUACGGGAGGGGCGAGUGGAAUUCCUGGUGUAGCGGUGGAAUGCGCAGAUAUCAGGAGGAACACCUAUGGCGAAGGCAGCUCGCUGGAACGUUACUGACGCUGAGACGCGAAAGCGUGGGGAGCAAACAGGAUUAGAUACCCUGGUAGUCCACGCUGUAAACGAUGGAUACUAGGUGUGGGGGGUGUCAACUCCCUCCGUGCCGAAGC